Molecule: unclassified non-coding RNA, 830 nt
Filed under: Hevea brasiliensis (rubber tree)
Lineage: Eukaryota; Viridiplantae; Streptophyta; Magnoliopsida; Malpighiales; Euphorbiaceae
Source: RNAcentral
AGCGAAUUCACUGGAAUAUAGACAUAAAAGUAACAUCGUUCGAAUAUUCGUAGCAAGCCCAAUAACUCAUAAUUGCUAAAUGCGUAAAUUUGAUAUACAUCACACAGUAAUAAGAUGUUAUACUCAUGCCAUAAUGUUAACCUCUGGCCUUAAGCUCUGCAAGGCGCCUCGUUAAGUCGUCCUCGUCAACUUUCUCGGUUUCCUUGGUUGGCACUGCAUGUGACGCCGGCUGCGGUAGCCCGACGGAGACUUCCAGACCGUAAUCAUCCGCGACCUGCUGCAUCAAGCUGUUGACUUCUCCUUCCGGAGUGGAAAGCGACGUCGAUCCAGCCAUUGCAUUUUCCAUGAACUCUGCCUGAACCUCCAUAUUCACAAACUGCUUCUCAAACUGGUCCAUAGUCUCGGACAUCUUCUGCAAAUUCCCAGUCGCCAAAGAAGAUUCCAAGGACUUGACGAUCGACGCCAUGGACUUGUUGAUCGUGGUCAUCUUGGCCUGUGUAUCGAGCCGAGCCACAACAGCAUCAAGCCUGGAAGAAAGACGGAGAUAGUUCAUCUGUUCUGUUCGUUUACGGAUCGCGUUCUCCGCGUAAAUUCGGGCUCCGUCAACGUUCCCCUUCUCCAUAGCCUUCUUGAUCUUAAGCUUCUCGGAUUUCUCUUCCUUCUCGCACUUCCUGGCUUGGCGCUGCAGCGACUUCGAAGUGAACUUCAAUUCCAUUAUUUGAUUCAACAAUUUCUCGGUGUUCCCCAUGAUCGGAAGAAGCCCAAAAUGCGGUGGAAUUAGAUGAAGGAAUUGAUGAAAGACGCUAGGGCUGGAGAAGAAUUGAUUUGGG